RNAcentral lists this long non-coding RNA (1916 nucleotides) under Helianthus annuus (common sunflower). RNAcentral's name for it is "hypothetical non coding rna". The record is from RNAcentral. Lineage: Eukaryota; Viridiplantae; Streptophyta; Magnoliopsida; Asterales; Asteraceae.
CAUGUGUAGCAGAUAUUAGUGAGUGCACAACACAUUAGUUAGGGUUUUGAAUUAUUGCUACAGGUUAGUGAUGUUAGAGAUUGUGUUAUGAGAAAUGUGUAGAUUGAAUUAUGUCUGUGUUUGAUUGUGACACCUUUGAUUGUGCAUGAAAUUGCUGGUUAUAUGAGAUUUUGUUGAUUGUAGACAAAUAAGUUUGAACAUAACUUAUUAGAUUUGAAAGUUUGCCAUUAAUGUAUUUGAUUUUAAAUUUCGAAUCUGUAAAUUGGUACCAUGUCGGUUGGUUUUGCUUGGUAAGGUUAGACUUUCCUAAUAAGUUUGCUUGAUUUACGGGAUUAGAUAUUAGUGAUUUGAUUUUCAGAUUUUAAAUUUUAAAUUUUGAAGUUAAUCAUUAUUCUAAAUUUAAAUUUUGAAAUAAACCAUUAUUGUGUUUGAUUUUAAAUUUUCAAUUUCGAAGUCAAUUAUUAUGUUAAAUUUAAAUUUGAAAGUUUGCCAUUAAUGUGUUUGAUUUUAAAUUUCGAAUCUGUAAAUUGAAUUUAAAUUUGAAAAGUUAGUCUUUCCUAAUAAGUUUGCUUGAUUUACGGGAUUGGAUAUUAGUAUACUUUGUUUAUUGGGUUUUAACUAAUAAUUUGAUUGACUCGGUUGUUAGAUUUGUGACGAUGCGUCGGACAAACAACAUUGGGAAAAUAUACAGCCUUGAGCCUUGGUAAGUUAACACAUUAGUUAAGGUUAUGAUGUUUUUUCAUGGCACCGACACAUUAUUGAGUAGUAGCGCAUUAGGUUAGUGAUAUUAAAAUUUGUGCCUUGAGAAAUUUUGUAUAUUGAUUUAUGUUUGAAAUUGAUUGUGAGGUAUUAGAUAAGAUGUGUUUGAAGUUGUGAAGAUGAAUAAGUGAGACAUGUGUAGCAGAUAUUAGUGAGUGCACAACACAUUAGUUAGGGUUUUGAAUUAUUGCUACAGGUUAGUGAUGUUAGAGAUUGUGUUAUGAGAAAUGUGUAGAUUGAAUUAUGUCUGUGUUUGAUUGUGACACCUUUGAUUGUGCAUGAAAUUGCUGGUUAUAUGAGAUUUUGUUGAUUGUAGACAAAUAAGUUUGAACAGAACUUAUUAGAUUUGAAAGUUUGCCAUUAAUGUGUUUGAUUUUAAAUUUCGAAUCUGUAAAUUGAAUUUAAAUUUGAAAGGUUAGACUUUUCUAAUAAGUUUGCUUGAUUUACGGGAUUGGAUAUUAGUGAUUUGAUUUUCAGAUUUUAAAUUUUGAAGUCAAUCAUUAUUUUAAAUUUAAAUUUUGAAGUAAUGGCAAUCUGAGUCUGAUUUUUUUCGUGAUUAAUAUCCGCUUGAGUAACCCAAUCUGAGUCUGACUUUUUUCGUUAACGAUUCUGGUAAACUUUCCCGAUUUGGGUUUUCUGCAAGGCUAAUCAUCUAAAUUAAUUUGUUAUUUUUAUGGUUUACCAUUGCAUAAGUUAGUAUAAUUUGUUGACAAAGUUUUAUUUUGUGGGAUAGUAGUCAUAAAUUGAGUAAUAUUCAAGGUUUAUGUGUUUUUAUUUUGAUUCAUUAAAUAAGAUGUGUUUGAGUAAUAUUCAAGGUUUAUGUAUAUAUGAGAUUUUGUUGAUUGGCAUAAGGUGUUAGAUAAGAUGUGUUUGAAGUUGUGAAGAUGAAUAAGUGAGACAUGUGUAGCAGAUAUUAGUGAGUGCACAACACAUUAGUUAGGGUUUUGAAUUAUUGCUACAGGUUAGUGAUGUUAGAGAUUGUGUUUUGAGAAAUGUGUAGAUUGAAUUAUGUUUGUGUUUGAUUGUGACACCUUUGAUUGUGCAUGAAAUUGCUGGUUAUAUGAGAUUUUGUUGAUUGUAGACAAAUAAGUUUGAACAAUUAGAUUCACAUUUAAGUAUAAAAAUGAGAGGUUGUUAUAAUCUGAAUUAUAUUCUGA